GACGAACGCUGGCGGCGUGCUUAACACAUGCAAGUCGAGCGGGAUCCAACCGGUGGCAACACCGGGGAAGAUCUAGCGGCGAACGGGUGAGUAACACGUGAGCAACCUGCCCCGAAGACUGGGAUAACACCGGGAAACCGGUGCUAAUACCGGAUGUCGUCAUUAGGCCGCAUGACCUGAUGAUGAAAGGAUUCAUCGCUUCGGGAGGGGCUCGCGGGCUAUCAGCUUGNGGUGGGGUAACGGCCUACCAAGGCGACGGCGGCUAGCUGGUCUGAGAGGACGACCAGCCACACUGGGACUGAGACACGGCCCAGACUCCUACGGGAGGCAGCAGUGGGGAAUCUUGCGCAAUGGGCGAAAGCCUGACGCAGCAACGCCGCGUGGGGGAUGAAUGCCUUC
This 399-nucleotide ribosomal RNA is filed under the name uncultured bacterium. Its description in RNAcentral is "bacterial SSU rRNA". It matches the Rfam family "Bacterial small subunit ribosomal RNA", at positions 28 to 419 of the family's 1533-position model. The record is from RNAcentral.